RNAcentral lists this ribosomal RNA (2774 nucleotides) under Escherichia coli. Its description in RNAcentral is "partial 23S ribosomal RNA". It matches the Rfam family "Bacterial large subunit ribosomal RNA". Lineage: Bacteria; Pseudomonadati; Pseudomonadota; Gammaproteobacteria; Enterobacterales; Enterobacteriaceae. The record is from RNAcentral.
CACACUAUCAUUAACUGAAUCCAUAGGUUAAUGAGGCGAACCGGGGGAACUGAAACAUCUAAGUACCCCGAGGAAAAGAAAUCAACCGAGAUUCCCCCAGUAGCGGCGAGCGAACGGGGAGCAGCCCAGAGCCUGAAUCAGUGUGUGUGUUAGUGGAAGCGUCUGGAAAGGCGCGCGAUACAGGGUGACAGCCCCGUACACAAAAAUGCACAUGCUGUGAGCUCGAUGAGUAGGGCGGGACACGUGGUAUCCUGUCUGAAUAUGGGGGGACCAUCCUCCAAGGCUAAAUACUCCUGACUGACCGAUAGUGAACCAGUACCGUGAGGGAAAGGCGAAAAGAACCCCGGCGAGGGGAGUGAAAAAGAACCUGAAACCGUGUACGUACAAGCAGUGGGAGCACGCUUAGGCGUGUGACUGCGUACCUUUUGUAUAAUGGGUCAGCGACUUAUAUUCUGUAGCAAGGUUAACCGAAUAGGGGAGCCGAAGGGAAACCGAGUCUUAACUGGGCGUUAAGUUGCAGGGUAUAGACCCGAAACCCGGUGAUCUAGCCAUGGGCAGGUUGAAGGUUGGGUAACACUAACUGGAGGACCGAACCGACUAAUGUUGAAAAAUUAGCGGAUGACUUGUGGCUGGGGGUGAAAGGCCAAUCAAACCGGGAGAUAGCUGGUUCUCCCCGAAAGCUAUUUAGGUAGCGCCUCGUGAAUUCAUCUCCGGGGGUAGAGCACUGUUUCGGCAAGGGGGUCAUCCCGACUUACCAACCCGAUGCAAACUGCGAAUACCGGAGAAUGUUAUCACGGGAGACACACGGCGGGUGCUAACGUCCGUCGUGAAGAGGGAAACAACCCAGACCGCCAGCUAAGGUCCCAAAGUCAUGGUUAAGUGGGAAACGAUGUGGGAAGGCCCAGACAGCCAGGAUGUUGGCUUAGAAGCAGCCAUCAUUUAAAGAAAGCGUAAUAGCUCACUGGUCGAGUCGGCCUGCGCGGAAGAUGUAACGGGGCUAAACCAUGCACCGAAGCUGCGGCAGCGACGCUUAUGCGUUGUUGGGUAGGGGAGCGUUCUGUAAGCCUGCGAAGGUGUGCUGUGAGGCAUGCUGGAGGUAUCAGAAGUGCGAAUGCUGACAUAAGUAACGAUAAAGCGGGUGAAAAGCCCGCUCGCCGGAAGACCAAGGGUUCCUGUCCAACGUUAAUCGGGGCAGGGUGAGUCGACCCCUAAGGCGAGGCCGAAAGGCGUAGUCGAUGGGAAACAGGUUAAUAUUCCUGUACUUGGUGUUACUGCGAAGGGGGGACGGAGAAGGCUAUGUUGGCCGGGCGACGGUUGUCCCGGUUUAAGCGUGUAGGCUGGUUUUCCAGGCAAAUCCGGAAAAUCAAGGCUGAGGCGUGAUGACGAGGCACUACGGUGCUGAAGCAACAAAUGCCCUGCUUCCAGGAAAAGCCUCUAAGCAUCAGGUAACAUCAAAUCGUACCCCAAACCGACACAGGUGGUCAGGUAGAGAAUACCAAGGCGCUUGAGAGAACUCGGGUGAAGGAACUAGGCAAAAUGGUGCCGUAACUUCGGGAGAAGGCACGCUGAUAUGUAGGUGAAGUCCCUCGCGGAUGGAGCUGAAAUCAGUCGAAGAUACCAGCUGGCUGCAACUGUUUAUUAAAAACACAGCACUGUGCAAACACGAAAGUGGACGUAUACGGUGUGACGCCUGCCCGGUGCCGGAAGGUUAAUUGAUGGGGUUAGCGCAAGCGAAGCUCUUGAUCGAAGCCCCGGUAAACGGCGGCCGUAACUAUAACGGUCCUAAGGUAGCGAAAUUCCUUGUCGGGUAAGUUCCGACCUGCACGAAUGGCGUAAUGAUGGCCAGGCUGUCUCCACCCGAGACUCAGUGAAAUUGAACUCGCUGUGAAGAUGCAGUGUACCCGCGGCAAGACGGAAAGACCCCGUGAACCUUUACUAUAGCUUGACACUGAACAUUGAGCCUUGAUGUGUAGGAUAGGUGGGAGGCUUUGAAGUGUGGACGCCAGUCUGCAUGGAGCCGACCUUGAAAUACCACCCUUUAAUGUUUGAUGUUCUAACGUUGACCCGUAAUCCGGGUUGCGGACAGUGUCUGGUGGGUAGUUUGACUGGGGCGGUCUCCUCCUAAAGAGUAACGGAGGAGCACGAAGGUUGGCUAAUCCUGGUCGGACAUCAGGAGGUUAGUGCAAUGGCAUAAGCCAGCUUGACUGCGAGCGUGACGGCGCGAGCAGGUGCGAAAGCAGGUCAUAGUGAUCCGGUGGUUCUGAAUGGAAGGGCCAUCGCUCAACGGAUAAAAGGUACUCCGGGGAUAACAGGCUGAUACCGCCCAAGAGUUCAUAUCGACGGCGGUGUUUGGCACCUCGAUGUCGGCUCAUCACAUCCUGGGGCUGAAGUAGGUCCCAAGGGUAUGGCUGUUCGCCAUUUAAAGUGGUACGCGAGCUGGGUUUAGAACGUCGUGAGACAGUUCGGUCCCUAUCUGCCGUGGGCGCUGGAGAAUUGAGGGGGGCUGCUCCUAGUACGAGAGGACCGGAGUGGACGCAUCACUGGUGUUCGGGUUGUCAUGCCAAUGGCACUGCCCGGUAGCUAAAUGCGGAAGAGAUAAGUGCUGAAAGCAUCUAAGCACGAAACUUGCCCCGAGAUGAGUUCUCCCUGACUCCUUGAGAGUCCUGAAGGAACGUUGAAGACGACGACGUUGAUAGGCCGGGUGUGUAAGCGCAGCGAUGCGUUGAGCUAACCGGUACUAAUGAACCGUGAGGCUUAACCUUACAACGCCGAAG